Molecule: ribosomal RNA, 2151 nt
Filed under: Triticum aestivum (bread wheat)
Lineage: Eukaryota; Viridiplantae; Streptophyta; Magnoliopsida; Poales; Poaceae
Description: partial small subunit ribosomal RNA
Source: RNAcentral
AUGCGUCAAGUACAAGAGCUUCUCGACAAAGGUUAUAUACGCGAAUCCCUUAGUCCUUGUGCUGUUCCUAUUAUUCUAGUGCCGAAAAAGGAUGGUACAUCACGUAUGUGUGUUGAUUGUAGAGGCAUUAAUAAUAUUACUAUUCGUUAUCGUCAUCCUAUUCCUAGGCUAGAUGAUAUGCUUGAUGAAUUGAGUGGCUCUACAAUAUUCUCCAAAGUUGAUUUGCGUAGUGGAUACCAUCAAAUUCGUAUGAAAUUGGGAGAUGAAUGGAAAACAGCAUUCAAAACUAAGUUUGGAUUAUAUGAGUGGUUAGUCAUGCCUUUUGGGUUAACUAAUGCACCUAGUACUUUCAUGAGAUUAAUGAACGAAGUUUUACGUGCUUUCAUUGGACGAUUUGUGGUAGUUUACUUUGAUGACAUAUUGAUUUAUAGCAGAUCUUUGGAAGAACAUUUGGAACAUUUACGUGCUGUUUUUAUUGCUCUACGUGAUGCACGUUUGUUUGGUAACCUUGGGAAGUGCACCUUUUGCACCGACCGAGUAUCUUUUCUUGGCUAUGUUGUUACUCCACAGGGAAUUGAAGUUGAUAAAGCCAAGAUUGAAGCUAUUGAGAGUUGGCCGCAGCCCAAAACGGUCACACAAGUGAGGAGUUUUCUUGGCCUCGCUGGAUUCUAUAGGCGUUUUGUGAGAGAUUUCAGCACCAUUGCUGCACCUCUCAAUGAGCUUACAAAGAAAGAUGUGCCUUUUCUUUGGGGUACUGCACAGGAAGAAGCCUUCACGGUAUUGAUAGAUAAGUUGACACAUGCUCCUUUACUCCAACUUCCUGAUUUUAAUAAGACUUUUGAGCUUGAAUGUGAUGCUAGUGGAAUUGGAUUAGGAGGUGUGUUAUUACAAGAUGGCAAACCUGUUGCAUACUUUUCUGAAAAAUUGAGUGGGCCUAGUCUGAAUUAUUCUACUUAUGAUAAAGAAUUAUAUGCUCUUGUUCGGACUUUAGAAACAUGGCAACAUUAUUUAUGGCCCAAAGAAUUUGUUAUACAUUCUGAUCAUGAAUCUUUGAAACAUAUUAAAAGUCAAGCUAAACUGAAUCGUAGACAUGCUAAAUGGGUUGAAUUCAUUGAGACUUUCCCUUAUGUCAUUAAACACAAGAAGGGAAAAGAAAAUGUUAUUGCUGAUGCAUUGUCUCGUCGCUAUACUAUGCUUUCACAACUUGACUUCAAAAUAUUUGGUUUGGAUACCAUCAAAGAUCAAUAUGUGCAUGAUGCUGAUUUUAAAGAUGUAAUGCAGAAUUGUAAAGAAGGAAGAAUGUGGAACAAGUUUGUUGUUAACGAUGGAUUUGUGUUUCGUGCUAACAAGCUAUGCAUUCCAGCUAGCUCCGUUCGUCUUUUGUUGUUGCAGGAGGCGCAUGGAGGAGGAUUAAUGGGACACUUUGACGUGAAGAAGACGGAGGACGUACUUGCUACACAUUUCUUUUGGCCAAAGAUGAGACGGGAUGUUGAGCGUUUUAUUGCUCGCUGCACUACAUGUCAAAAAGCUAAGUCACGACUCAAUCCUCAUGGUUUAUAUAUGCCUUUGCCUGUACCUAGUGUUCCUUGGGAGGAUAUAUCUAUGGACUUUGUUUUAGGUUUACCUCGAACAAAGAAGGGGAGGGAUAGCAUAUUUGUUGUCGUGGAUAGAUUCUCGAAAAUGGCACACUUUAUACCAUGUCAUAAAAGCGAUGAUGCUGUUAAUGUUGCUGAUUUGUUCUUUCGUGAAAUUAUUCGCUUGCAUGGUGUGCCAAAUACUAUUGUUUCAGAUCGUGAUACUAAAUUUCUUAGCCACUUUUGGAGAUGUUUAUGGGCUAAGUUGGGGACUAAACUGCUUUUUAGUACUACUUGUCACCCCCAAACUGAUGGACAAACUGAAGUAGUCAAUAGAACGUUGUCUACUAUGCUUAGGGCUGUUUUGAAGAAUAAUAAGAAAAUGUGGGAGGAAUGCUUGCCUCAUAUUGAAUUUGCUUAUAAUCGUUCAUUGCAUUCUACUACUAAGAUGUGCCCUUUUGAAGUUGUGUAUGGUUUCCUACCUCGUGCACCUAUUGAUUUGUUGCCUCUUCCAUCUUCGGAGAAGGUUAAUUUUGAUGCUAAACAACGUGCUGAAUUGAUUUUAAAAAAUGCAUGA